RNAcentral lists this ribosomal RNA (492 nucleotides) under Strongylogaster secunda. Its description in RNAcentral is "eukaryotic LSU rRNA". It matches the Rfam family "Eukaryotic large subunit ribosomal RNA", at positions 671 to 1113 of the family's 3401-position model. The record is from RNAcentral. Lineage: Eukaryota; Metazoa; Arthropoda; Insecta; Hymenoptera; Tenthredinidae.
GAGUCUAACAUGUGCGCGAGUCAUUGGGACACGCAAACCUAAAGGCGAAAUGAAAGUAAAGGUCUGCCUAGCGCUGACCGAGGGAGGAUGGGCCGCGUCACGAUGCGGCCCCGCACUCCCGGGGCGUCUCGUUCUCAUUAUGAGAAGAGGCGCACCCAGAGCGUACACGUUGGGACCCGAAAGAUGGUGAACUAUGCCUGGUCAGGACGAAGUCAGGGGAAACCCUGAUGGAGGUCCGUAGCGAUUCUGACGUGCAAAUCGAUCGUCGGAACUGGGUAUAGGGGCGAAAGACUAAUCGAACCAUCUAGUAGCUGGUUCCCUCCGAAGUUUCCCUCAGGAUAGCUGGCACUCGCGUACAAAACGUACACGAGUCUCAUCCGGUAAAGCGAAUGAUUAGAGGCCUUGGGGCCGAAACGACCUCAACCUAUUCUCAAACUUUAAAUGGGUGAGAUCUCUGGCUUGCUUGAACUAUGAAGCCACGAGAUUUCGGAU